GAGGGUAUAGCUCAGUAGAGCGCAUGCUUAGCAAGCACAGGGUCCUGGGUUCAAUCCCCAGUACCUCCU
RNAcentral lists this transfer RNA (69 nucleotides) under Camelus bactrianus (Bactrian camel). It matches the Rfam family "tRNA". From Rfam's summary of the family: Transfer RNA (tRNA) molecules are approximately 80 nucleotides in length. Their secondary structure includes four short double-helical elements and three loops (D, anti-codon, and T loops). The record is from Rfam by way of RNAcentral. RNAcentral also lists the same sequence under 2 other names. Lineage: Eukaryota; Metazoa; Chordata; Mammalia; Artiodactyla; Camelidae.